GGCUCAGAAUGAACGCUGGCGGCGUGGAUGAUACAUGCAAGUCGAACGGGAACGUUUCCUUCGGGGAACUAGUACAGUGGCGGACGGGUGAGUAACGCGUGAUCAACCUGCCCUUGGGAGGGGGAUAGCUAUCCGAAAGGAUAGGUAAUACCCCAUAAGACUACGGCAUCGCAUGGUGCUGCGGUCAAAGAGUUGGGAUCUUCGGACCUUCUGCCCGAGGAUGGGAUCGCGUCCUAUUAGCUUGUUGGUGGGGUAACGGCCUACCAAGGCGAUGAUGGGUAGCCGGCCUGAGAGGGUGGUCGGCCACACUGGGACUGAGACACGGCCCAGACUCCUACGGGAGGCAGCAGUGCUGAAUCAUUCGCCAAUGCGCGAAAGCGUGACGGUGCGACGCCGCGUGCGGGAUGAAGGCCUUCGGGUUGUAAACCGCUGUCAGGGUCUAGGAAACCGCCGACGUGAAUAGCGGCGGCGCUGACCAGGCCCAAAGGAAGUGCAGGCUAACCUCGUGCCAGCAGCCGCGGUAAGACGAGGUGCACAAGCGUUGUUCGGAAUCACUGGGCAUAAAGAGUGCGUAGGCGGUCUGGUAAGUCGGGUGUGAAAGCCCUCGGCUCAACCGGGGAAUUGCUUCCGAUACUGCCAGACUUGAGAGCGAAAGGGGCAAGCGGAAUUCCAGGUGUAGCGGUGGAAUGCGUAGAUAUCUGGGAGAACGCCGAAGGCGAAGGCAGCUUGCUGGGUCGCAUCUGACGCUGAGGCACGAAAGCUAGGGGAGCGAACAGGAUUAGAUACCCUGGUAGUCCUAGCUGUUAACGAUGGGCACUUUGCUUUGGGGGACCUGAUUCCCUCAGGGCCGGAGCUAACGCGUUAAGUGCCCCGNCUGGGGAGUAUGGUCGCAAGGCUAAAACUCAAAGGAAUUGACGGGGGCUCACACAAGCGGUGGA
Molecule: ribosomal RNA, 938 nt
Filed under: uncultured organism
Description: bacterial SSU rRNA
Rfam family: Bacterial small subunit ribosomal RNA
Source: RNAcentral